RNAcentral lists this ribosomal RNA (460 nucleotides) under Porphyromonas gingivalis. Its description in RNAcentral is "bacterial SSU rRNA". It matches the Rfam family "Bacterial small subunit ribosomal RNA", at positions 28 to 478 of the family's 1533-position model. The record is from RNAcentral. Lineage: Bacteria; Pseudomonadati; Bacteroidota; Bacteroidia; Bacteroidales; Porphyromonadaceae.
GAUGAACGCUAGCGAUAGGCUUAACACAUGCAAGUCGAGGGGCAGCAUGAUCUUAGCUUGCUAAGGUCGAUGGCGACCGGCGCACGGGUGCGUAACGCGUAUGCAACUUGCCUUACAGAGGGGGAUAACCCGUUGAAAGACGGACUAAAACCGCAUACACUUGUAUUAUUGCAUGAUAUUACAAGGAAAUAUUUAUAGCUGUAAGAUAGGCAUGCGUCCCAUUAGCUGGUUGGUGAGGUAACGGCUCACCAAGGCGACGAUGGGUAGGGGAACUGAGAGGUUUAUCCCCCACACUGGUACUGAGACACGGACCAGACUCCUACGGGAGGCAGCAGUGAGGAAUAUUGGUCAAUGGGCGAGAGCCUGAACCAGCCAAGUCGCGUGAAGGAAGACAGUCCUAAGGAUUGUAAACUUCUUUUAUACGGGAAUAACGGGCGAUACGAGUAUUGCAUUGAAUUAC